AGAGCGAACGCUGGCGGCAUGCUUAACACAUGCAAGUCUCACGGGCAGCAAUGUCAGUGGCGGACGGGUGAGUAACGCGUAGGUAUCUAUCCUUGGGUGGGGGAUAACGUUGGGAAACUGACGCUAAUACCGCAUGACACCUGUGGGUCAAAGGCGCGAGUCGCCUGGGGAGGAGCCUGCGUACGAUUAGCUUGUUGGUGGGGUAAAGGCCUACCAAGGCUACGAUCGUUAGCUGGUCUGAGAGGAUGAUCAGCCACACUGGGACUGAGACACGGCCCAGACUCCUACGGGAGGCAGCAGUGGGGAAUAUUGGACAAUGGGCGAAAGCCUGAUCCAGCAAUGCCGCGUGUGUGAAGAAGGUCUUCGGAUUGUAAAGCACUUUCGGCGGGACGAUGAUGACGGUACCCGCAGAAGAAGCCCCGGCUAACUUCGCGCCAGCAGCCGC
This 445-nucleotide ribosomal RNA is filed under the name uncultured bacterium. Its description in RNAcentral is "SSU rRNA". It matches the Rfam family "Bacterial small subunit ribosomal RNA", at positions 26 to 518 of the family's 1533-position model. The record is from RNAcentral.